RNAcentral lists this long non-coding RNA (1144 nucleotides) under Gallus gallus (chicken). RNAcentral's name for it is "lncRNA (ENSGALG00010007079.1)". The record is from RNAcentral. Lineage: Eukaryota; Metazoa; Chordata; Aves; Galliformes; Phasianidae.
AUUGCUGGGAGUUAUUGGAAGUGCCUGGGGGCUUUCUGCCUGCAGCAGGAGGCUGCUCAGCUCACACCCUGAUUUUUGGGGGCCACCGCAGUGAUGGUGCUGGGCUUCUAAUCUGAUUUUUUUGGUUGCUGGUUUCUGCUGGCCUCCUUUGCCCUGUUUUUUUGGAGCCAGCUGUUGCUGCCAGGCUCAGAGCUUACUUUUCUGGGGCAAGAAUAAAGUUGCAGUUCCUGGGUUCUCAUGCUUUUUGAGGCUAGUGCAUGUUGACUGUGCAGUGCUUUUGCAGACUGAUUUCCAGCAGGGAGGCUGGGGUGGAGUUUGUGGGUGCUGCAGCUCCUCCUGCUUGCAGUGAUGGAGGGUGAUGGCUGUAGCGGGGCCUCUUGCAGUAAGGAUCAGCCCAAAUCUGUGAGCAGUUCUGGCAGCGAUGGGACCAUGGAGGCUGAGUGCUAGGGAUCCAGGGGUGUGCACUCCUUCCCCCACCAUGGGGUCUACUUCUGAGUGUCAUGCACUGGGGGGCUCCAAGAUAGUAAGGAUGCAGCAGAUACAUGAGAAGACUUUCACGAGCCUUCACAUUCAGAAUACACUGAGGGAGAUGCUGACUUUAUGUUGCUUCUGACUAAGGAGAACAUCAUUGGAAGGACAUCUCCAAGCAGUUGUGAUUUCUCUCAAGAUGUAUUAUUAGAAAAUUUGCAACCAUCUGAUAUUUUUUUAAAACUAUCUGAAUAACAGCAAGGUGUCAGCUAUUCAAGCUCAGUAAUUGAGCUAUUGCAAAUGAGAGAAAGAGAGGCCCAAUCCACUCCCCAGCUGACCUUCAAGAAGCUGUGACCAACAGAAGUCCCAGCUGUCCUGCAGUAUCCUCCUGCUACUCUUGUCCAGUGAUAUUCUGGGCUAAAUGCAAGCUCUUCCCAAAUCCCAGCUUACACAGUGCUUGUAUACUGCUUACUCCGAGGAGUGCUUUUUGACCCUUGGGGUUCCCAGAAAACAAGGACAAUCUAGGAUGGAAGAGUUUAAAAUGAAAAGCAUCCAGUCCAACAUGUAACUUGGUGGUUUUUUUUGUUUGUUUGUUUGUUUGCAUUAAAAAACAAUGUCUUUUGUACCUUGCUUUACUUCCCAUGAGAGAAGUCUCACGAGAUUAAAAGAACAAAAC